RNAcentral lists this small RNA (239 nucleotides) under Beauveria bassiana D1-5. RNAcentral's name for it is "tp2". It matches the Rfam family "tp2". The record is from Rfam by way of RNAcentral. Lineage: Eukaryota; Fungi; Ascomycota; Sordariomycetes; Hypocreales; Cordycipitaceae.
GGUAUUCCUUAUCUGUCUAAUACGUUGAUUAUCUGGAACCUGUCCCAUUGCGCUCUUGCCCGUCAUACUUCGGCUUGCCUCAUUGUUGGCUUCACGUCCUCACCCCAGUCACUUACUAAAGUAAGCUCCAGGGGAUUCCAACGCUUGCCGCUGCGAUGCAAGGCGAAUUAUUUAGGGCAACUGAAUAAAAGAACGCAAUAAGACAGGUUCUGUGUUUAGUUGCCGCGCUCUAAAGUUUG